Molecule: long non-coding RNA, 277 nt
Filed under: Rattus norvegicus (Norway rat)
Lineage: Eukaryota; Metazoa; Chordata; Mammalia; Rodentia; Muridae
Description: long non-coding RNA NONRATT012116
Source: RNAcentral
UAGCAGCCCGGCUGCGAGCCUUCAGGCCUUGGGGUCUCUGGAACCAAAGCCUCUUUGUCUCCCGAACUCCAGGGGAACCUGAUCUUUGAAGAAGAGGUACUCCUCAUCUUUCUGGGAAUAUCCAAGAUGUCCCUGGUUGUAGUGCCUUUCUACCAGAAAAGACACAAGCACUUUGACCAGUCAUAUCGAAACAUCCAAACCAGGUACCUCCUGGACCGAUAUGCAUCGAAAAAGCAAGCGUCCAGUCAAUCAUCAUCCCAGAGGUCUCUUACGGAGA